Peniophora sp. CONT is the source of this 119-nucleotide non-coding RNA. NCBI's taxonomy places the organism in Eukaryota, Fungi, Basidiomycota, Agaricomycetes, Russulales, Peniophoraceae. The record is from Rfam.
GGCAAGAUGUCCGAGUGGUCUAAGGAGUGGGAUUCAAGUUGCGCCACGUGACUUCCCGGCAAUAGCCGGGCCGAUUCCCCAUAGCGCAAGCUGCGCGGGUUCAAAUCCCGCUCUUGUCA